UGCCGCGUGCAGGAUGAAGGCCCUUCGGGGUGUAAACUAGCUGUCAGGGUUCAGAGAAAGUGACUAACCCAAGGAAGAGGCGACUAACUCUCGUGCCAGCAGUCGCGGUAAUACAGAGGCCUCGAGCGUUAAUCGGAUUAUUGGGCUUAAAGCGUACGUAGGCGGACGUGCAGGCAUGUUGUGAAAUCCCCCGGCUCAACCGGGGAACUGCUUCGUGAACCGCACGUCUAGAGGCAAGUAGGGGCGGUCGGAACGAUAGGUGGAGCGGUGAAAUGCGUUGAUAUCUAUCGGAACGCCAAAGGUGAAAACAGGCCGCUGGGCUUGUUCUGACGCUGAGGUACGAAAGCGUGGGGAGCGAACGGGAUUAGAUACCCCGGUAGUCCACGCCGUAAACGAUGUGCACUAGAUCCUGGUUCCUCUGACGGAUUCAGGGUCGAAGCAAAAGUGGUUAGUGCACCGCCUGGGGAGUACGGUCGCAAGGCUA
This 484-nucleotide ribosomal RNA is filed under the name uncultured bacterium. RNAcentral's name for it is "bacterial SSU rRNA". It matches the Rfam family "Bacterial small subunit ribosomal RNA", at positions 395 to 896 of the family's 1533-position model. The record is from RNAcentral.